AUUGAACGCUGGCGGCAGGCCUAACACAUGCAAGUCGAACGGUAACAGGAAACAGCUUGCUGUUUCGCUGACGAGUGGCGGACGGGUGAGUAAUGUCUGGGAAACUGCCUGAUGGAGGGGGAUAACUACUGGAAACGGUAGCUAAUACCGCAUAACGUCGCAAGACCAAAGAGGGGGACCUUCGGGCCUCUUGCCAUCGGAUGUGCCCAGAUGGGAUUAGCUAGUAGGUGGGGUAACGGCUCACCUAGGCGACGAUCCCUAGCUGGUCUGAGAGGAUGAGCAGCCACAAUGGAACGGAGCCACGGUCCAGACUCCUACGGGAGGCAGCAGUGGGGAAUAUUGCACAAUGGGCGCAAGCCUGAUGCAGCCAUGCCGCGUGUAUGAAGAAGGCCUUCGGGUUGUAAAGUACUUUCAGCGGGGAGGAAGGGAGUAAAGUUAAUACCUUUGCUCAUUGACGUUACCCGCAGAAGAAGCACCGGCUAACUCCGUGCCAGCCGCCGCCGUAA
This 506-nucleotide ribosomal RNA is filed under the name uncultured bacterium. RNAcentral describes it as "partial 16S ribosomal RNA". It matches the Rfam family "Bacterial small subunit ribosomal RNA", at positions 30 to 523 of the family's 1533-position model. The record is from RNAcentral.